GAUGAACGCUGGCGGCGUGCCUAAUACAUGCAAGUCGAGCGAACAGACGAGGAGCUUGCUCCUCUUACGUUAGCGGCGGACGGGUGAGUAACACGUGGAUAACCUACCUAUAAGACUGGGAUAACUUCGGGAACCCGGAGCUAAUACCGGAUAAUAUAUUGAACCGCAUGGUUCAAUAGUGAAAGACGGUUUUGCUGUCACUUAUAGAUUGAUCCGCGCCGCAUUAGCUAGUUGGUAAGGUAACGGCUUACCAAGGCAACGAUGCGUAGCCGACCUGAGAGGGUGAUCGGCCACACUGGAACUGAGACACGGUCCAGACUCCUACGGGAGGCAGCAGUAGGGAAUCUUCCGCAAUGGGCGAAAGCCUGACGGAGCAACGCCGCGUGAGUGAUGAAGGUCUUCGGAUCGUAAAACUCUGUUAUUAGGGAAGAACAAAUGUGUAAGUAACUAUGCACGUCUUGACGGUACCUAAUCAGAAAGCCACGGCUAACUACGUG
Molecule: ribosomal RNA, 497 nt
Filed under: uncultured bacterium
Lineage: Bacteria
Description: partial 16S ribosomal RNA
Rfam family: Bacterial small subunit ribosomal RNA
Source: RNAcentral